Long non-coding RNA from Rhipicephalus sanguineus (brown dog tick), 494 nucleotides. RefSeq lists it as uncharacterized. Lineage: Eukaryota; Metazoa; Arthropoda; Arachnida; Ixodida; Ixodidae. The record is from RefSeq and is a predicted model, not a curated record. The transcript is spliced from 4 exons.
GUAAAUUCUGGAAGGCGCCAGGAGUUGCGCAAUGAUGUUUUUAUUCCUUCUGGCCGUCCUCGACAUACCAGCCACCGUAAUAAAAAGGCGCUGGUACAGCGCAGACCACGGCAAAGCUCACUGCGCCUUCCUUGGAGCACCACUCACUUGCAAGCACCAAGAAAGCCACGAUGAAGAAGCUGGUGCUCAUAUUGGUCGUCGUUCUUCUCUGCGAAGUGGCACUAACGGAAGCGGCACGUCCUGCUCCCGCAAGAGGCGGCGGUGGGAAGAAACCGGUGCUUUGUAAUGGUAAAAGAUGUAAACCGAACGAGUACUGCCAAGAAGGUCUUUUUGCACCCACGCAAUGUCUUCCGAAAGAUUACCGACGAUGACAAGUUCCUGCCCAUGAAGGAAAAUCGUUUCCGAAAGAAACCUGCGGCACGGAAAAAACACACGAGGAACAUGAGCGGCAUCAACCUUCUGACUAACUGAAUAAAGUUACUCGUACUCAGAAA